This is a long non-coding RNA of Setaria italica (foxtail millet), 1157 nucleotides long. RefSeq lists it as uncharacterized. The record is from RefSeq and is a predicted model, not a curated record. Lineage: Eukaryota; Viridiplantae; Streptophyta; Magnoliopsida; Poales; Poaceae. The transcript is spliced from 3 exons.
AAAAAUAAGCCAAUGGAACCAAACCAGACCUUAGAUCUGAGUCAGGGAAAGAGACAGAGAGGAGAGUGGAGAAUAGGAUGAGAGCCGGACGAAAGAGAGAAAGGGGUAAAGAGAGAGGGUACAGGGGACUCACUCACGUGGGUGGACAAAUGCUAGUCUGCAAGCCCUCGGCGCCCGCCAUUGACGAGCAGAUCCAGCGUGCUGGCCGGCGCUUGCCGCUGUGCUUGAGCUCGAGGACGUGCUGGAGGUCGAGCUCGACCGGGAGCACAUCGCAGCACCGCCCCCUCGCCACCAGCCGGGAUUGGCUCACUGCGACGUGCCUCCGUGACCUUACCUGUCGUGCUAGUUACAAUUUUACCCAUACCAAAAAAACAGUCUAUACUCUAUACUACCAUUUGAUAGUAUUAUGCACGUUAAAAGAGCUCUCAAAAGAUUGCAUGUUUGUUUUAGCCGUUCCUGCAUGUUUCAGUCAGUGUCAGAGAAUGAAUAACGCAUGGUGCUUAUUACAACAACCGAUGUUGAGUGAGGUCUUUUCAAAAUGGCAUGAGAGUGAUGCAUACGAGCUCAACUUUCCCUCUUAAUGAAAAACGUGCUCCGGCAUUGAAGAAUCGAGGAGAACUAACAAGACGCAUCUGUUUAAGACUCCGCCAGAAGGAGAAUUACAAACUGAGAAAAAAACGACUACUCGUGACAUACUCACUCUGCUAGGCUUUUCGCCCCAGGCGAGGAGCACUAGGCACCUGAUUGCCUUUCGUGAAACAUGUGGCGUUGUGGUGAUGGCAGUCCACCACUCGACGGUGUUUGUACUAUGCCCCCGUUCCAUUGGGCGUAGGCCUGGCUCAGCCGUCCAUUCUGCCAUGGAAUUCCAGAUUCGCUUCGUGUAUCUACACUCUGCCAUCAGGUGAAAGGCAGACUCCGUGGCCUGUUUGCAGAGAGGGCAGGGCCCGUUGUUUGGCCAUCCUCGUCCGCGCCUUGCUUUCAUAUUACUAAUAACUCGUGACCGUAUAUAGCUACGAGGAUCAACAAUUCAGUAUUGACUUGUGCAUUCCAUUCUCAACUCGUUUCGUUUUCCAUCCACUUUCGUAGAAGAGGACAUGCUUGGAUCUAAAGGUGUAAUACAAAUACCAUGAAUUACAUCACAGAAAGGCAACCGAACA